RNAcentral lists this ribosomal RNA (301 nucleotides) under uncultured bacterium. RNAcentral describes it as "partial 16S ribosomal RNA". It matches the Rfam family "Bacterial small subunit ribosomal RNA", at positions 509 to 807 of the family's 1533-position model. The record is from RNAcentral.
CAGCAGCCACGGUAAAACAGAGGGUGCGAGCGUUAAUCGGAUUUACUGGGCGUAAAGCGUGCGUAGGCGGCUUCUUAAGUCGGAUGUGAAAUCCCUGAGCUUAACUUAGGAAUUGCAUUCGAUACUGGGAAGCUAGAGUAUGGGAGAGGAUGGUAGAAUUCCAGGUGUAGCGGUGAAAUGCGUAGAGAUCUGGAGGAAUACCGAUGGCGAAGGCAGCCAUCUGGCCUAAUACUGACGCUGAGGUACGAAAGCAUGGGGAGCAAACAGGAUUAGAUACCCCCGUAGUCCCUGUCUCUUAUAC